GACGAACGCUGGCGGCGUGCCUAAUACAUGCAAGUUGAGCGCUGAAGGUUGGUACUUGUACCGACUGGAUGAGCAGCGAACGGGUGAGUAACGCGUGGGGAAUCUGCCUUUGAGCGGGGGACAACAUUUGGAAACGAAUGCUAAUACCGCAUAAAAACUUUAAACACAAGUUUUAAGUUUGAAAGAUGCAAUUGCAUCACUCAAAGAUGAUCCCGCGUUGUAUUAGCUAGUUGGUGAGGUAAAGGCUCACCAAGGCGAUGAUACAUAGCCGACCUGAGAGGGGGAUCGGCCACAUUGGGACUGGGACACGGCCCAAAAUCCUACGGGAGGCAGCAGUAGGGAAUCUUCGGCAAUGGACGAAAGUCUGACCGAGCAACGCCGCGUGAGUGAAGAAGGUUUUCGGAUCGUAAAACUCUGUUGGUAGAGAAGAACGUUGGUGAGAGUGGAAAGCUCAUCAAGUGACGGUAACUACCCAGAAAGGGACGGCUAACUACGUG
This 497-nucleotide ribosomal RNA is filed under the name uncultured bacterium. RNAcentral describes it as "partial 16S ribosomal RNA". It matches the Rfam family "Bacterial small subunit ribosomal RNA", at positions 28 to 507 of the family's 1533-position model. The record is from RNAcentral.